Molecule: ribosomal RNA, 492 nt
Filed under: uncultured bacterium
Lineage: Bacteria
Description: partial 16S ribosomal RNA
Rfam family: Bacterial small subunit ribosomal RNA
Source: RNAcentral
AGUGAACGCUGGCGGUAGGCCUAACACAUGCAAGUCGAACGGCAGCACAGUAAGAGCUUGCUCUUACGGGUGGCGAGUGGCGGACGGGUGAGGAAUACAUCGGAAUCUACUUUUUCGUGGGGGAUAACGUAGGGAAACUUACGCUAAUACCGCAUACGACCUACGGGUGAAAGCAGGGGAUCUUCGGACCUUGCGCGAUUGAAUGAGCCGAUGUCGGAUUAGCUAGUUGGCGGGGUAAAGGCCCACCAAGGCGACGAUCCGUAGCUGGUCUGAGAGGAUGAGCAGCAACAGGGGAACUGAGAAGCGGUCCAGACCCCACGGGAGGGCGGCAGGGGGGAUGUUUGAAGAAGGGGCACAGGCUGUACCGAGCCAUACGGGGUGGGGAAAAAGGGCUUUCGGGUUUAAAGCUCCUUUUGUGGAAAAAAAAAAAAAACGGUUUAAUCCCCGGCUGUCAGGAGGGGACCAAAAAAAUAGGACCCGGCUACCUCGGUC